Prinia subflava (tawny-flanked prinia) is the source of this 2098-nucleotide long non-coding RNA. RefSeq lists it as uncharacterized. The record is from RefSeq and is a predicted model, not a curated record. Lineage: Eukaryota; Metazoa; Chordata; Aves; Passeriformes; Cisticolidae. The transcript is spliced from 4 exons.
UGAGCUCACACUCAGGCUCACUCAGCUCUGCACACAGCAGGGACACAAAACAAAUCCUUCUCCUGCUGCACACCAAGGACAGCUGGGACAAGGGUUCAGCCCCAAAGCACAAACAAGGGGGGCUGAGGGAGGAACAAGAAGGAUGGGACUGCAUCACCUGGGGCUGCAAUGGGACAAUUCAACUCCAAAAUGCAAAUGGACCCAAACUGAUCCAAGUGUGAGACCUGGUGACCCUUUGUCCAUUUUGUGCCCAUUUUGGGUCCAUUUUGUGCCCACUUUGGGUCCAUUUUGUGUCCAUUUUGGGUCCCCCUUGGCUGCAGCCCUGGCCAGGCUCUUGUCCUGCCCAAGGUGUGUCCUAAAGGCCUUUCAAUAAAUCUCUGCUUUAUUCUCCAGCUCUGCCCAGUCUCUGCUCCAGCUCAGAGCAUCAGCAGCACUGCAAGCAGCAUCCCCCAGUAACUCUUGCUGACUUCCCCCUGCCUGAGCUCCCGACCUUUUCCCGAGGGCUCAGCCCCUUCUGCUCCAUUUGGGCUCAUCUGUCAGAAGCAGCUUGGCUCUUCCAGAGCUGCACGAUGAGAAGCUGCUGAGCUGAAGGUUUCUGUGCUCCCUCCUCUCCCUGAAGGCAGGAGCUGCAGGUAGCAGUGGAGUGCCCUGAGUUUCCCAGCUGGAGUCAAAAAUUGCUGCUGGAAAUUCCAAAUUGUUCUCUCCUUGCUCACCUCGAGGGACUGGGGUUGCUACUGCAAUAUUCCUGAGUAAAAUCAGAGUUUGGAAUGAAGUUCACACUUUCCUAAUGCCCAGAAUGACAAAAGGAUAAGUAGAGUUAAGGCAGUGGAGUGGCUGCUGUGAAAUCAUCUGAUCCCUGCAGUCCUUCGAGGAAAGAAAAGGGAAAUCCAAACCAGCUGCAGGAGCUCAGAGGUUCCUUCUGUUCUACAAAAUCCACACUGCUAAAGACAUCUAUGGAUCGUGAGAAUGAAAAACUCCUGACUUUUUUAUUUAUAGCCCCCUCUGAUGUAAACAGCAUCCCCCGGAUUCUCGUACGCUCCCGGUACGUGCGGGGCUGUGGGGGAGUGCAGGGUUUGUUUUGGUGCCCAACACAAGCAGCUGAGCACAGGGAGGAAAGGAAAAGCUCCUGUGCCAAAGGCAGGCAGGGGGAACCAGCUGUGGAGAGAUGGGGAAACACUGCAGAGACGCUGGAAAAGUUCAAGUGCAGCGCUGGAAUCCCGCCAGCAGCGCCCAGGAAAAUCCAGGAAUGAAUCCAGAGGAAGAUACUCCAGCACAGGGAGGAGGAUCAGCACAUUCUGAGAGUUUACAAACAAACCCUGUGUGGCUGCUGGAGCUCCAUCCCAAAUGUCCCAUCCACUGGUCUGCACAGAAAUCAAAAUAACCCUGCCAAGGACAAGGUCGGGAAGAUCGAGUGAAAAGCCAUAAAAGAGAAGAAUCCUCACCUCCUCCUGCCUUCAGCUUCACCCUGGUGUGGACAUCACAUUUAUUUGUGUGCUGUGUGGGCUGGGGCACACCAAAGGCACGAGUUCUCCAGUAUUUUAUCCCUAAUGCUGGCCAAUAAUUGGUGCCAAGGAAAUAAAUAAAGGGAAAAACCCAAUAACAGGAUUUCUCAAUUGCCAAGUCCCAGAGGAAAUUCUUGGAAAACAGUCCGGCAAGGAAGAACAUCACAACUUUCCCUGGCAGAAAUGGUGAGAUGUUCAUUGAGCUGUACAGAGAGCUGAAGCAGGCAUCCAAUCCAGUGUUUCUCUUCCUGGUGGAAUCUCUCUGGUGGUUUCCUGCUGACAUUGGUUUUCUUGGAAAAAACCACUUUGGUUUUGCUGCAUCUCCUCGCUCACUUAAACUCCUGAGAAUUGUCAAAUUUGCUGCUUCGUGGUGACUUCACAAGUUUCCACCUUCCCCUUCUCCAGGGGGAGGCAGGAAGAUGAACAUCCCUCUGCUGAACCUAAAAUCAAUCUCAGUGACUGUGAACACAACUAAACUUUGGUUUUAUUCCAGUAGGAAAACCCCAAAACCUCUCUGAUCCAAAAGGACUCUCUAAUUAAUCUCAGCAUCCUUUUUCUACAUUUCCUUUCAGUAAGUGGUAGACAUUCAUUUUAAA